Molecule: ribosomal RNA, 497 nt
Filed under: uncultured bacterium
Lineage: Bacteria
Description: partial 16S ribosomal RNA
Rfam family: Bacterial small subunit ribosomal RNA
Source: RNAcentral
GAUGAACGCUGGCGGCGUGCCUAAUACAUGCAAGUCAAGCGAACGGACGAGAAGCUUGCUUCUCUGAUGUUAGCGGCGGACGGGUGAGUAACACGUGGAUAACCUACCUAUAAGACUGGGAUAACUUCGGGAAACCGGAGCUAAUACCGGAUAAUAUUUUGAACCGCAUGGUUCAAAAGUAAAAGACGGUCUUGCUGUCACUUAUAGAUGGAUCCGCGCUGCAUUAGCUAGUUGGUAAGGUAACGGCUUACCAAGGCAACGAUGCAUAGCCGACCUGAGAGGGUGAUCGGCCACACUGGAACUGAGACACGGUCCAGACUCCUACGGGAGGCAGCAGUAGGGAAUCUUCCGCAAUGGGCGAAAGCCUGACGGAGCAACGCCGCGUGAGUGAUGAAGGUCUUCGGAUCGUAAAACUCUGUUAUUAGGGAAGAACAUAUGUGUAAGUAACUGUGCACAUCUUGACGGUACCUAAUCAGAAAGCCACGGCUAACUACGUG